AAAAAUUGAAUAUUAAAAGUGAAAAAAAAAGAAAAAAAAUUAGGAAAUUUAGAAAUUAACCCCCAAAACUAGAAGCCCUAGUUUUGUUCUUCCUCCCUGUCUCUCUCGACUCUCUCUCUCCCCUCUCGACUCCGCCGCCGGCGCCGCUGCCCCGAGCCAGCCCGUCGCCGCCCACCCUUGUCGCGCUGCGUCGCGCCGCUGCCUCCCACCCUCGCUGCGUCUCAUCUCCUCCCCAAAUCUCUCUCUCUCUCU
This 252-nucleotide long non-coding RNA is filed under the name Salvia miltiorrhiza (redroot sage). Its description in RNAcentral is "long non-coding RNA (SMIL_LNC011995)". The record is from RNAcentral. Lineage: Eukaryota; Viridiplantae; Streptophyta; Magnoliopsida; Lamiales; Lamiaceae.